CAGAGGGUGCGAGCGUUAAUCGGAAUUACUGGGCGUAAAGCGCGCGUAGGCGGCUUUGCAAGUCGGGUGUGAAAUCCCCAGGCUUAACCUGGGAACUGCAUUCGAGACUGCAUUGCUAGAGUAUGGGAGAGGGAAGUGGAAUUUCCGGUGUAGCGGUGAAAUGCGUAGAUAUCGGAAGGAACAUCAGUGGCGAAAGCGACUUCCUGGACCAAUACUGACGCUCAUGUGCGAAAGCGUGGGGAGCAAACAGGAUUAGAUACCCUGGUAGUCCACGCCAUAAACGAUGAGAACUGGAUGUCGGGGGGGUCUGCCUCUCGGUGUCGUAGCUAACGCGUUAAGUUCUCCGCCUGGGGAGUACGGCCGCAAGGUUA
Molecule: ribosomal RNA, 371 nt
Filed under: uncultured organism
Description: bacterial SSU rRNA
Rfam family: Bacterial small subunit ribosomal RNA
Source: RNAcentral